This 273-nucleotide ribosomal RNA is filed under the name uncultured bacterium. Its description in RNAcentral is "partial 16S ribosomal RNA". It matches the Rfam family "Bacterial small subunit ribosomal RNA", at positions 523 to 796 of the family's 1533-position model. The record is from RNAcentral.
AUACGGAGGGGGUUAGCGUUGUUCGGAAUUACUGGGCGUAAAGCGCACGUAGGCGGACUGGAAAGUUGGGGGUGAAAUCCCGGGGCUCAACCCCGGAACUGCCUCCAAAACUUCCAAUCUAGAGAUCGAGAGAGGUAAGUGGAAUUCCUAGUGUAGAGGUGAAAUUCGUAGAUAUUAGGAGGAACACCAGUGGCGAAGGCGGCUUACUGGCUCGAUACUGACGCUGAGGUGCGAAAGCGUGGGGAGCAAACAGGAUUAGAAACCCUGUAGUCC